UGGGGCCGCCCUGUCAGUGUCUGGAUGAGAGAGGGGAAGGGGCGGGUUCAGCGCCCGUGUGGGCCAGCCUGCGGGCCGUUUAGCCGGGCCCCUUCCGGUUUCAAACUUUUGUUUUUCUUUUUCUUUUUGAAUUAAAAGUGCUUUAUGUUUGAAUUUGUGUGAAAAAUUGUGCACUGAUCCAAAAAUCAUGAAAAUUUUUGUAUAGACUCCAUGAAAUAAGUAGAACACAGGAAAAAUGUUAAGUUUUAUUUUCUGGUAGUUUGCAUGUGUAUAAAAAUUGCCUCUUUUAAUUAGU
Molecule: long non-coding RNA, 295 nt
Filed under: Sorghum bicolor (sorghum)
Lineage: Eukaryota; Viridiplantae; Streptophyta; Magnoliopsida; Poales; Poaceae
Description: long non-coding RNA (SBIC_LNC017477)
Source: RNAcentral